AGAAAUUCACAAAAUUUCAAAGAAUCAAGUGACAAAAGGUGGUGAGCAUUCUGGCAAAAGUAAAGAGGUAGUAUCCGAGGAUCCAGAAUUAGAGUAUCCCGAAUUCGAUUCCCAUUACUAAUAUGAUGAGCAAGAUGAAAGGAAGAGAUGAUAGCGAAGGUGAGGAGAAAGUGUCACUCGUACAUGUUGCAGUAAUUUGAAGAUAGCUUGAGCUGUAGAACUUCAAUUAAGGUGAUUUUUGAUUCAUUGGAAAGAUAAGAGAAUGGAAUACAACUUUCAUGUUUAUCAAUUGGCUCAAUUUGGAAUAAAUAAAGGCAAACAUCAUGUUCAAAAUUGGUGGGCAAAUGUAGUUUUGCACUAAAGUAACAUGGUUGGAGUGCCAAAGGCUCAUGGCCACGGCGUUGCAAGUGUUACCACAAUGGUAGUGAACUAUGGCUGCGACGCUGCGUAUUGAGGUUGCAUCAUAAAAAAACUCGAGAGUAUAGUGUUGUGGUGCGGAAAGAGUAGCGUCACGGCACUCCCAAUGCAGAUCACAAUGUCGUAGUGCCACCAACUUUCCAAAAUUGAAAAUUUCAACAAAAAAUUAGAAAGUAGGGUGUUUUGGACAUAUUUAGUUCUUAUUUUGAGAGCAUUAAAUAGAGAGGACGUCAGUAACUUUAUAGAGAUUUGGAGCCAAGAACAAAAUAAGAAAAUAAGAGAAUUUGAGAGAGAUUUGCAAUUAAUCAAGCUUCAACAUUAGUUUAA
Molecule: non-coding RNA, 744 nt
Organism: Theobroma cacao (cacao)
Lineage: Eukaryota; Viridiplantae; Streptophyta; Magnoliopsida; Malvales; Malvaceae
Source: RefSeq, a predicted model, not a curated record